AAUAUACUCCCUCCGUCCCAAAAUAAGUGUCUUAACCUUAGUACAACUUUGUACUUAAGUUAGUACAAAGUUGAGACACUUAUUUUGGGACGGAGGGAGUAUAAU
Molecule: non-coding RNA, 105 nt
Organism: Triticum aestivum (bread wheat)
Lineage: Eukaryota; Viridiplantae; Streptophyta; Magnoliopsida; Poales; Poaceae
Source: Rfam